RNAcentral lists this transfer RNA (88 nucleotides) under Actinomycetota bacterium. RNAcentral's name for it is "tRNA-Leu". It matches the Rfam family "tRNA". Rfam says of the family: Transfer RNA (tRNA) molecules are approximately 80 nucleotides in length. Their secondary structure includes four short double-helical elements and three loops (D, anti-codon, and T loops). Lineage: Bacteria; Bacillati; Actinomycetota. The record is from RNAcentral.
GUCGGAGUGGCGGAAUUGGUAGACGCGCAAGGUUGAGGGCCUUGUGGGACGUAGUCCUGUGGGGGUUCGAGUCCCCCCUCCGACACCA